GCCAGCCCGCUCAGAACUCAAAGGAAUUGACGGGGCCGCACAAGCGGAGGAGCAUGUGGUUUAAUUCGAUGAUACGCGAGGAACCUUACCUGGGCUCGAACGUAAGAUGACUGUAGGUGAAAGCUUACAUCUCUUCGGAGCAUUUUACGAGGUGCUGCAUGGUUGUCGUCAGCUCGUGCCGUGAGGUGUCGGGUUAAGUCCCAUAACGAGCGCAACCCCUACCUUUAGUUGCCAUCAGGUUAAGCUGGGGACUCUAAAGGAACUGCCUACGCAAGUAGUGAGGAAGGCGGGGAUGACGUCAAAUCAGCACGGCCCUUACGUCCAGGGCUACACACGUGCUACAAUGGCCGAUACAGAGGGCAGCUACCUGGUGACAGGAUGCAAAUCUCCAAAGUCGGUCUCAGUUCGGAUCGGAGUCUGCAACCCGACUCCGUGAAGUUGGAUUCGCUAGUAAUCGCGCAUCAGCCAUGGCGCGGUGAAUACGUUCCCGGGCCUU
RNAcentral lists this ribosomal RNA (496 nucleotides) under uncultured Sphingobacteriales bacterium. Its description in RNAcentral is "bacterial SSU rRNA". It matches the Rfam family "Bacterial small subunit ribosomal RNA", at positions 882 to 1382 of the family's 1533-position model. The record is from RNAcentral. Lineage: Bacteria; Pseudomonadati; Bacteroidota; Sphingobacteriia; Sphingobacteriales.